RNAcentral lists this long non-coding RNA (212 nucleotides) under Prunus persica (peach). RNAcentral describes it as "long non-coding RNA (PPER_LNC008574)". The record is from RNAcentral. Lineage: Eukaryota; Viridiplantae; Streptophyta; Magnoliopsida; Rosales; Rosaceae.
UGGAUCUCUCUCUGACUCUAUCUUUUUUGCUUCAUUGUCCAAGAUAAUCAAAGGUUACCUCAUGCUUUCUCAGUUAUAUUUUAGUUUUUCUUUUCUUUUGAACAUUGUAGUAGUAUUGUUUCUAUUUGGUUAGAGUUGUGCAUCUCAGUUUUCUUAGGAUGUACACUGCUGUUUUUUAUUUUAUUUUUUUUAACCGUACUCUUCUUUUUGAG